GGUGGAUUAUCUGAACGAGUUAAGA
This 25-nucleotide non-coding RNA is filed under the name Cricetulus griseus (Chinese hamster). Lineage: Eukaryota; Metazoa; Chordata; Mammalia; Rodentia; Cricetidae. The record is from RNAcentral.